Molecule: non-coding RNA, 20 nt
Filed under: Mus musculus (house mouse)
Lineage: Eukaryota; Metazoa; Chordata; Mammalia; Rodentia; Muridae
Also listed under: 1 other name
Source: RNAcentral
GCCCGGAUAGCUCAGUCGGC